GUUUACAAGAGGUUUUAAUAGCUGGGUUUACAAGAGGUUUUAAUAGCUGGGUUUACAAGAGGUUUUAAUGGCUGGGUUUACAAGAGGUUUUAAUGGCUGGGUUUACAAGAGGUUUUAAUGGCUGGGUUUACAAGAGGUUUUAAUAGCUGGGUUUACAAGAGGUUUUAAUAGCUGGGUUUACAAGAGGUUUUAAUAGCUGGGUUUACAAGAGGUUUUAAUGGCUGGGUUUACAAGAGGUUUUAAUAGCUGGGUUUACAAGAGGUUUUAAUGGCUGGGUUUACAAGAGGUUUUAAUAGCUGGGUUUACAAGAGGUUUUAAUGGCUGGGUUUACAAGAGGUUUUAAUAGCUGGGUUUACAAGAGGUUUUAAUAGCUGGGUUUACAAGAGGUUUUAAUGGCUGGGUUUACAAGAGGUUUUAAUGGCUGGGUUUACAAGAGGUUUUAAUAGCUGGGUUUACAAGAGGUUUUAAUGGCUGGGUUUACAAGAGGUUUUAAUAGCUGGGUUUACAAGAGGUUUUAAUGGCUGGGUUUACAAGAGGUUUUAAUGGCUGGGUUUACAAGAGGUUUUAAUGGCUGGGUUUACAAGAGGUUUUAAUAGCUGGGUUUACAAGAGGUUUUAAUGGCUGGGUUUACAAGAGGUUUUAAUGGCAAAUAUCUCCUGAAUGGUGCUGUGUUAUGUAUCUUGACAUGCUCUCAGGGUAAGGAG
Long non-coding RNA from Eriocheir sinensis (Chinese mitten crab), 704 nucleotides. RefSeq lists it as uncharacterized. The transcript has 3 exons. Lineage: Eukaryota; Metazoa; Arthropoda; Malacostraca; Decapoda; Varunidae. The record is from RefSeq and is a predicted model, not a curated record.